UUUUUUUUUUCUUUUUUUCCUUUUUUUUUUUCUUUUAAAAUUUUCCAUUUUAAGUUGGUUAUUUCUGAUUUAUAUUUAAAAGCAAAUAAUAAUGAUAUGGUAGGAGAUACACACCAAACAGGAUGUGUAAAUUAUUAUAUAAUAAGUAUUGUGCAAUAGCAAGAAAUUUUCAAUUGCACAGUAUUGCACAAUAGCAAGAAAUCUUCAAUUGCACAGUAUUGCGCAAUAGCAAGAAAUCUUCAAUUGCACAGUAUUGCGCAAUAGCAAGAAAUAUCCAAUAGCACAAUAUUGCGCAAUAGCAAGAAAUUGUCAAUUGUACAGUAUUGCGCAAUAGCAAGAAAUAAUCAAUUGCACAGUAUUGUGCAAAAGAAGAUACUUCGUAUAAAUUGCUUAUUUCUUGAUCAAUUUCAAUGGGGUUUUAUUCUUGAAUUCUUGGGGUUCUUUAAUAUGCUGAAUCUAACCGUGUAUUAAGUUUUUAGAUUUUGGGCCCCGUUUUUAAAUUGGUCCACAUUGAGGUCCAAAGGGUCCAAAAUUUUACUUUGUUUGAUUUCAUCAAAAAUUGAAUUAUUGGGGUUCUUUGAUAUGCCGAAUCUAACCGUGUAUUUAGAUUCUUAAUUUUUGGUUCUGUUUUCAAAUUGGUCUACAUAAAGGUCCAAAGGGUCCAAAAUUAAACUUAGUUUGAUUUUAACAAAAAUUGAAUUUUUUAGGGUUCUUUGAUAUGCUGAAUCUAAACAUGUAUUUAGAUUUUUGAUUAUGGGCCCAGUUUUCAAGUUGGUCCAAAUCGGGGUCCAAAAUUAAACUUUGUUUGAUUUCAACAAAAAUUGAAUAUAUGGGGUUCUUUGAUAUGCUGAAUCUAACCAUGUAUUUAGAUUUUUGAUUUUUGGGCCCUGUUAUCAUUUUUGUCCACAUUGAGAUCAAAAGGGUCCAAAAUUAAACUUUGUUUGAUUUCAUCAAAAAUUGAAUUCUUGGGGUUCUUUGAUAUGCUGAAUCUAACCAUGUAUUUAGAUUUUGGAUAUUGGACCAUAAUAGGUGAAUGUCCAAUUUAAAAUUUUUAAGUUCUUAGACCACAUUCAUUCUGUGUCAGAAACCUAUGCUGUGUCAAAUAUUUAAUCACAAUCCAAAUUCAGAGCUGUAUCAAGCUUGAAUGUUGUGUCCAUACUUGCCCCAACUGUUCAGGGUUCGACCUCUGCGGUCGUAUCAAGCUGCGCCCUGCGGAGCAUUUUAUUAGUUUCUGUUCUCUACUUAAGUUAGCCUCAACCAAAUGUUAUGAGACUUACACACAAUGCUUAUUACCACAAAACUCAGAUCAAGUUCAAAUUUGGGUAGCGUCACUUUUACCGUUCUUCAGUUAUGUCCCUUUAUAACUAUGUGAUAUGCAAGCGGGGGCUUUAUCUGUGUCCACAUGUGGACACUAUCCUUAUUUAUUUGUAUACAGUUUAUACGGAUGAUAGUAGAGCUAUAAAGCAUUCCACAUAUUGUAUAGAGAUGGCUUACGGUGUAGAGUUUCCAUUUCACAUAUAUGUCAGCUGUCCUUGGCCUCAUUUACAUGGUUUAAUGACAUACCAAAUCAGUAUUAAUUUUCUUGAUUAAAUCAUUUAAUCAAUUACAUUUGAGUUAUAGGUCAGCUAUGUGUGAUCUGUAAAAAUCAACAAAAUUUCAUAAUAUUUCAAUGCAAUGAGUCUGUUUAGUUUUCGUGUUACAUGGAUUAUUUCAUCAAAAAAUGAAUCUGAUGAUAGGAUGUCCAAACUGUAAAGAAGAAAAGGCAGAUGAAAUCUCACAACACAAAAGCAAGGAUUUGACCAAGAGAAACGUAAAUGUUUUGCAAAUGAAUUGUAAGGGGUUGGAUUUUUACAAAACAUCUGGCCUAAUGUCUAGCAAAUAUUGUGCAUUGUUCCCAAAUCAGAGUGAUAAGGAAAGUCCUCUAGUUAAUUUCUUUUUUUUUUUAUUCACAAAAGUUACAUUUUGUGCUGAAGAACUGAAGUAUAAGAAUUCAUAAACAUAAAACAUUAUGCAUCAUAGAAAAAAGUAAAAUAACAAAAAUACUGAACUCCAAGGGAAAUUCAAAACGGAAAGUCCUUUAUAAAAUGGCAAAAUCAAAAGCUCAAAAACAUCUAACGAAUGGAAAACAACUGUCAUAUUCCUGACUUGGUACAGGCAUUUCCUUAUGAUGAAAAUGGUGAAUUAAACCUGGUUUAAUACAGAUAACACAGGUAAAAAAAAUUAAUGAAAAUAAAAUUAUGAAAAAAGUUGCUUGCAUAUAUCUAGUUGCGAAAAACAAAACAAAUUAAGACAAGUGGAUGAAAUAUGUCUAGCUUGCUUGUUUUUUUUUUUUUUUUUUUUUUUUUAAA
Long non-coding RNA from Mytilus californianus (California mussel), 2348 nucleotides. RefSeq lists it as uncharacterized. NCBI's taxonomy places the organism in Eukaryota, Metazoa, Mollusca, Bivalvia, Mytilida, Mytilidae. The transcript has 2 exons. The record is from RefSeq and is a predicted model, not a curated record.